UGGCGAUGAACGGGACAGCCCAUCGCGAAACUGCAGGUCAUCUUGGCCUUGCGGAAUGUCGCGUUUGGGAGAGUCUUAUCGAGAAUCAGCUGGCCAGUCAAAGUCCAACUUGACAGUGGCCACAGCCCAUAGAGGGUGAUAGGCCCGUAAGGCGGCUGGCUGUCCUUGCCGACUUUUCCCUAGAGUCGGGUUGCUUGGGAGUGCAGCCCAAAGUGUGAGGUAAACUCCUCAUAAGGCUAAAUAUUACCCCGAGACCGAUAGCAAACAAGUACCGUGAGGGAAGAUUGAAAAGAACUUUGAAGAGAGAGUUCAAUAGUACGUGAAACUGUGUGGUGGUAAACGGAGGCGUUCUUGAAGUUUCUGUGGGGAACUCAACCUUGGUGGCUGGCGGCCUGGCUGUAUGUGAUCAGCAAUGACUCUGCAGCUGGUUUGGUCGUGGCCUCUCGGGCGCAUUUUUCCCACAGUUUACGGCAGGAACUGUUUGGAGCAGACCAAAGGCCUCGGGUGAAGUUGUCGGUUCUGCUGGCAGCCCCAGGUGUCCUGGCUCUGCACCAGACAGGUAUCAGAGAGGACUCGUAUAGCGAGCAAUGCCCUGUUGCAGUCCUCAUAUCUCUGCCGAGUAGGUCAGAGACGCCUCCGACCCGUCUUGAAACACGGACC
Molecule: ribosomal RNA, 660 nt
Filed under: Temoropia mayumbaensis
Lineage: Eukaryota; Metazoa; Arthropoda; Copepoda; Calanoida; Temoridae
Description: eukaryotic LSU rRNA
Rfam family: Eukaryotic large subunit ribosomal RNA
Source: RNAcentral